This is a non-coding RNA of Acanthosepion pharaonis, 110 nucleotides long. The record is from the annotation of a GenBank genome assembly. NCBI's taxonomy places the organism in Eukaryota, Metazoa, Mollusca, Cephalopoda, Sepiida, Sepiidae.
UUGCGGCGACAUCAGGUUGAAACACCCGUUCCCGUACGAUAGAAGUUAAGCAACGUAGAACCUGGUCAGUACCUAGAUGGGUGACCGCUUUGGCAUACCAGGUGCUGUAA